Molecule: RNA transcript, 2719 nt
Organism: Sphaeramia orbicularis (orbiculate cardinalfish)
Lineage: Eukaryota; Metazoa; Chordata; Actinopteri; Kurtiformes; Apogonidae
Gene name: SOSS complex subunit B2-like
Exons: 8
Source: RefSeq, a predicted model, not a curated record
UGGGGCUGUAGUCAAAGUAGACUUUAUAGCUACUGGGUCAUGGUGUAAAGCGGGUGCAGUUUUUUACAGAGGCGUUUUGGCAUUGUUAGUCUUUCGCUAUAAAUAACAAGCUCAAUUAUAUUUAGGUGUCUCGAACAACUGAACCGCUGUAAAGGGCCACAGUCAGAUGUGUAGACACUAUAGUGUAACAAAAACAGCCUUUUCCCAGGCGGCGCGUUAGCAAAGCUAACAGUUCCUUCUACUCAGAGCCACACAAAGGGACUGCGGUGGAUGGAUGUGAUAAUACUGACGUUGAGGUUAACGAUGGAAUUUUUUUGAAUAGUGGAGGGAGUAGUUGAAAAACAGUUAGAACACAGACAAUACCGUAAGUUCUGGACUAACUCUACGUGACUGUCAGUAGAGCCGUCUUUGUUAGGGAACAUCCCAGACUUGACUUAGGAUUCUGGACUUGUCACUGACUAAACUACACAUUGUGGCAAACUGCGUUGCUAAACGUUUGGGUGAUUUAAAAUCAAUGCGUUUUUCAUGUUAACGCCGUGUAAAUAAUGAAUCUUUAGUUAUGGCUAUAAUUGUAGAAAUAAAGAUGCUAAUAGACGUAUGGUCUGAAUUUAAAACCAGGUAGCUCACUAGCCCGCUCAUAUUUUAGUAAAGUAUUUCUUAGCAAAGCUAAUUACGGUAGCUAACGAACCCAGUUACUGUAAAUUGGAGUUGGGAGUUUUUCAGAAGAGAGAAGUAUCUUAUAUGUCGUUUCCGACGACAGAAAUACUUAUGGUAUUCCCCUUGGUGUUGUCAAGUUUGUCUUUGUGUCUGUAAACCAUUACGAGCGAUUUAACGUCACAGAUAUUUGGCUAGCAGGCUAAUUAGUUAGCUGAGCUAAUGCUAACGUUAUAGCUACACAUUACAGGGUAACUACAGAGGGCAAGUUACUGUUAGCCUGUAGUCUUAGCAGUUAGCGGUAGUUGGUAUAAGUGCCAGAAAAGAACACAGGCCAUUAUUCUUCUUCGACAGAAACAAUGGCAACUCCGACAAACGAGGCCUUGUUUUUGAUAAAGGAUGUGAAGCCUGGGUCGAAAAAUUUGAAUAUCGUAUUCAUUGUUUUGGAAAUAGGACGGGUAACCAAAACGAAGGAUGGACAUGAGGUUCGCUCCUGCAAGGUGGCAGACAAGAGUGGAAGCAUUGCCAUUUCAGUUUGGGAUGAACUGGGCAGCCUUAUUCAACCAGGAGAUAUUAUCAAGCUAACCAGAGGCUAUGCAUCUAUAUGGAAAGGCUGCCUAACCCUAUACACUGGAAGAGGAGGGGAUCUACAGAAGAUUGGAGAGUUCUGCAUGGUGUAUUCAGAAGUGCCCAACUUCAGUGAACCAAACCCAGAGCUGCUAGCCCAGGCCAACCAGCAAAACAAGUCUGGGAAACCAGACCAGAAUCAAAGAGGAAACUCCCCACCCAAUCAGAAUUCAGGUACACCUGCACCACCAGGUAAUGGUGCCAUGCAGCCGUUUGCCAACAACACCAACCCGCCCUCCGGUGCUCCUCGAGACCCCUCAUUUGGGAGUGUGGGGCGACCCAACGGGCGGUCACCAGGAAAUGGCGCCCCUCCGGUUACUGCUGCAGGACCCCCAGCAGCCACUAAAUCAUCAGUUACCAUUAGCAACGGCAGGGACCCACGACGUGCCAAAAGAUGAAAAUGGGGUUAUUGUGGAAAGUAUCCCCCAUUCCCCAUCCUUUCUGGCCUUUUUCCCCAGUACAGAAAACAAAACCAUGAAUAAAUUAGACUACUAUGAGACUUUUUCUACAGGUGAACAUAGUCAGAUGUGUCAUUUUGUCAUGUUUUGGUGCGCCGUCAGCAGCACAGUGUGAUUGUGAUCUACCACUAUAAGAUGCACUAAAGCAGGACUUCCUGAAGUCGAGCCUCAGCGCUUUGACCAGUGCUCAGCCUUCGGUCACCAUCGUCCUCUUCAAUCUCACUGCAGAUUAUUGCCAGUUCUGUGCCAGUGUUACCCCCCCACCCCACCCCCAACGCCCUAAACUGAAUCUUUUCCCUCCUGUUUUACAACCAUACUCCCUACUUGAACACUUGAUGCACUUUCUUCUUCUUAAUUUAUGGUGAGAAAACAGUGGCUGUCAUAAAAUCAGGAAAUCCGUUUCUACUGUUUUUUUUAGUGGAAAAGGCCUUAAGUUGGUGGAAAUGAGUUUGACUGAAUGCAAGGGCAAAAUUUGUCAAAAGGGUCUUCCCUCUCUUAACCAAACUGUAUGUGAAGUGACUGUGACAGGAAAGGUGUUUUGAAUUUUUAACAAUAGAUCAUUAUUAGUGUUUUUUUUAUUUUGUUUUUCUCUUUUCCAUUAGUUGUACGUUUUGUCGAGGUGGGACCACAAUACUGAUUCAACCACUGGCAGAACAAUCCUCCAAAUAAAUUGUUACCAUAAUCCUCCUGCCACGUUUGGGGUUUUGUAGUCUGUUUAAAGCACCAGUUUGUAGUUCUGAGCCAUACUUUCAAUCUUUUUCAGCAGGGUUUCACCUCCAAACAUGGAAUGGGGUCUUGCAUAGUGAAUGUGGGCACAUUUUUUACAAACACGUCUUGUGAGCAUCCACACAAGUAUACGUUCAGACCACAGAGGGACUCAGAUCAUUGUUGCAGAGCACACGCCCCACAUCUGGAACAUAUCCUACAGGCUGUUGUCAUUAGCGACCAUCGGAAGACUGAAUAAAUAAGCUUCCCAUCUG